ACCAACACAGCUAGCAUUAGCGCCACCAGCACCACCCAUCAAACCCAGCACUACUGCCAGUACCAGCUAGCUAGCUUAGGCUUGCAGCUACUGCUGACGCCUAGAUUUCAAGCUUGUGAUUUGCCUGCAUACUCAAGCUAAGCUUCUCAUGGCGCCCGCGUCGAAGGUCAUGAACCACAUCAUCCAGGACGGCGGCAUUGCCACCUACGCCGUCUACGCUGCGCCAUGUGGCGCCUGGUGCGGCGGGCGGCAAAGGAAGGCCGAGACGGACGGCGACGACGACGAUGACGACUAUGACUGCGCCCCUGCCGCCUGAAGUGUACGUACGUUCGUACAUGGUCGCUGGCGAAACGAAUCAGGAACCUGCCCGUCAAGAGCUAGUAUAUAGUAUUUGCGAACUGAUCGCUGCUGCUGUGUAUGCUAAUUCGAUCUCAAGCACGUAGGUACGUAUAUGUGUACGUGUGCUUACAGCUACUUACUUAUGAAUGUAUCCCCCCCCCCCCCCCCCCNNNN
RNAcentral lists this long non-coding RNA (513 nucleotides) under Hordeum vulgare. RNAcentral's name for it is "long non-coding RNA (HVUL_LNC007629)". The record is from RNAcentral. Lineage: Eukaryota; Viridiplantae; Streptophyta; Magnoliopsida; Poales; Poaceae.